Molecule: transfer-messenger RNA, 363 nt
Filed under: uncultured Enterococcus sp.
Lineage: Bacteria; Bacillati; Bacillota; Bacilli; Lactobacillales; Enterococcaceae
Rfam family: transfer-messenger RNA
About the family: Bacterial tmRNA, also known as 10Sa RNA or SsrA, is named for its dual tRNA and mRNA-like properties. Its role is to liberate the mRNA from a stalled ribosome.
Source: RNAcentral
GGGGGCGUUACGGAUUCGACAGGCAUAGUUCGGGCCUGAAUUGCGCUUCGUAGGUUACGUCUACGUUAAAACGUUACAGUUAAAUAUAACUGCAAAAACAAACAAUUCUUACGCUUUAGCUGCCUAAAAAACAGCGGGCGUGAUCUAGUCAAGCAUCGCCCAUGUGCUUGUUCUAGGUCUUACUCUAAGUGGGAUACGUAAUCAAAAUCCGUCUGUUUUUGGUUAAAGAGAUUGUCAGACUAGUUUGUUAAGGGGCCUGUCACUCGGCAUCUUUUCAAAUGAACUUUAAAUAGAACUGACUAUGAGCGUAGAUUUUUGGGUGGCGAUAUGUUUGGACGUGGGUUCGACUCCCACCGCCUCCAU